This 347-nucleotide long non-coding RNA is filed under the name Olea europaea subsp. europaea. The record is from RNAcentral. Lineage: Eukaryota; Viridiplantae; Streptophyta; Magnoliopsida; Lamiales; Oleaceae.
AAUCAUGGUACAGGUUGCGACAAGAGUUUCUGAAGUACCUUUCCCUUUGCCAAUUAUCACAGUUAUGCAGCUUCGUAAUUUGUAUUUAUAUAUAUGAGGCAGGAGGAAUAAUUAAUUUUGAACUUUGAUGAACUGGUCAGUUUUUUCUUGAAAUGCAGGAAGGUAAUGCUAUUGAGCUCCAGAAGAAAGUAACGUGGAUUGCUCGCUAGAUGUUCGUAAUUUCGUUUUUCUAAAAGGAGUGUAAGAGAAAGUUUGCUCUUAUUUCAAUAGUUCCUUUUAUAUUUUAAGUGUAUGGAUUCAAAUUCAUAAUGAAAUUAUUGAUUUUUCAUAAUCCAAAAAUCAUUCAC